RNAcentral lists this unclassified non-coding RNA (300 nucleotides) under plant metagenome. RNAcentral's name for it is "partial contains 5.8S ribosomal RNA, internal transcribed spacer 2, and large subunit ribosomal RNA". The stretch from base 1 to 106 matches the Rfam family "5.8S ribosomal RNA", at positions 49 to 154 of the family's 154-position model. The record is from RNAcentral.
CGAAAUGCGAUAAGUAAUGUGAAUUGCAGAAUUCAGUGAAUCAUCGAAUCUUUGAACGCACAUUGCGCUCGCCAGUAUUCUGGCGAGCAUGCCUGUUCGAGCGUCAUUUCAACCAUCAAGCUCUGCUUGCGUUGGGGAUCCGCGGCUGCCCGCGGUCCCUCAAAAACAGUGGCGGGCUCGCUAGUCACACCGAGCGUAGUAACUCUACAUCGCUAUGGUCGUGCGGCGGGUUCUUGCCGUAAAACCCCCAAUUUCUAAGGUUGACCUCGGAUCAGGUAGGAAUACCCGCUGAACUUAAGC